RNAcentral lists this transfer RNA (60 nucleotides) under Calameuta filiformis. RNAcentral's name for it is "tRNA-Arg". Lineage: Eukaryota; Metazoa; Arthropoda; Insecta; Hymenoptera; Cephidae. The record is from RNAcentral.
UUUUAUAUAGUAUAUAAGUUAAUUACAAUCAAUUUCGACUUGAUAAAAAAUAUAUAAAAU